CAAUAGCAUAUAUUAACGUUGUUGCAGUUGAAAAGCUCGUAGUUGAACUUUUGGUAGGAGCGACCUGGCCUUGGGCGCAUGCCCUUGUUCGCCGUGUGUCGUAUCUGGCCAUCCUUUUCCGCUUCGGCGGGAAUCCUUUACUGUGAGUAAACUGGAGUGCUCAAAACAAGACGUUUGUUUGGUACAUUAAAGCAUGGAAUAAUAAGAUAGGACCUGGUUACUAUUUUGUUGGUUUGCAUAGCUAGGUAAUGAUUAACAGGGACAGUUGGGGGUAUUCGUAUUUAAUUGUCAGAGGUGAAAUUCUUGGAUUUAUGAAAGACGAACGACUGCGAAAGCAUUUACCAAGGAUGUUUUCAUUAA
This 360-nucleotide ribosomal RNA is filed under the name uncultured eukaryote. Its description in RNAcentral is "partial 18S ribosomal RNA". It matches the Rfam family "Eukaryotic small subunit ribosomal RNA", at positions 592 to 976 of the family's 1831-position model. The record is from RNAcentral.